RNAcentral lists this transfer RNA (85 nucleotides) under Gammaproteobacteria bacterium. RNAcentral's name for it is "tRNA-Leu". It matches the Rfam family "tRNA". Rfam says of the family: Transfer RNA (tRNA) molecules are approximately 80 nucleotides in length. Their secondary structure includes four short double-helical elements and three loops (D, anti-codon, and T loops). The record is from RNAcentral. Lineage: Bacteria; Pseudomonadati; Pseudomonadota; Gammaproteobacteria. RNAcentral also lists the same sequence under 1 other name.
GCCGAGGUGGUGAAAUUGGUAGACACGCAAGUUUCAGGUAUUUGUGGGGCAACCCUUGGAGGUUCGAGUCCUCUUCUCGGCACCA